GCUGGGAGUCGUGGCGUGCUCCUGUAAUCCAGCUACUUGGAGGCCGGGUGCAGCGGAUGUUUAAUCUUAAACAGACCUGUUUCCUA
RNAcentral lists this non-coding RNA (86 nucleotides) under Pediculus humanus corporis (human body louse). Lineage: Eukaryota; Metazoa; Arthropoda; Insecta; Psocodea; Pediculidae. The record is from RNAcentral.